CCUGCGGAGGAUCAUUAUCGAAUAAACUUGAACAGGCUGUUGCUGGUCCCCCCAAGGACAUGUGCACGCUUGUCAUCUUUAUCAUUUCUCCCAACUGUGCACAUAUUGUAGACCCUGGAGGGUUUUGGAUUUGUUCCGAGUGGGGACUGCUGUGCUUCAAAGAAAAAAAAAAAAAAGUCGGCUUUCCCUUGAACUUUUAUCCAGGUCUAUGUCAUUUUUCACGACCUCUUGAAUGUGUUUAAAAUGUUGAAAUAAUGAAAAAGUUAAUAAAAUACAACUUUCAGCAACGGAUCUCUUGGCUCUCGCAUCGAUGAAAAACGCACCGAAAUGCGAUAAGUAAUGUGAAUUGCAAAAUUCAGUGAAUCAUCGAAUCUUUGAACGCAUCUUGCGCUCCUUGGUAUUCCAAGGAGCAUGCCUGUUUGAGUGUCAUUUAAACUCUCAAACCACAUCAUUCGUUUGAUGUGGCUCUGGACGUGGGGGUUGCCGGCUUUCUUCUCAAAGAGAGCCCUGCUCCCCUGAAAUGCAUUAGUGGUAUCUGGAGUGGAAGACCGCUAGGUGUGAUAAUACUGUCUAUGCCUUUGGUUAUGCCACAAUGUGCUGCUUCCAACCACAUUUUAUUUUGACAAACUUGACCUCAAAUCAGGUAGGACUACCCGCUGAACUUAAGCAUAUCAUA
Molecule: small RNA, 676 nt
Filed under: Inocybe sp. SB74
Lineage: Eukaryota; Fungi; Basidiomycota; Agaricomycetes; Agaricales; Inocybaceae
Description: eukaryotic LSU rRNA
Rfam family: 5.8S ribosomal RNA (bases 276-429)
Source: RNAcentral